Molecule: long non-coding RNA, 2632 nt
Organism: Callithrix jacchus (white-tufted-ear marmoset)
Lineage: Eukaryota; Metazoa; Chordata; Mammalia; Primates; Cebidae
Source: RefSeq, a predicted model, not a curated record
ACAGACGCGGUGAGGGCGCCCAACGCCAGGUGCCCACCGGCGCUGUGUCCUGGAAGUGCCCAGGGAAGCCUCCGGGGGCUGUGAGGGGAACUGGGGAGCUGGCACGGACCCUCACUGCUCCCCAGAGCCUGGCAGCCUCUCCCCGGGGCUUUGCCCCGCCGUGGCUCCCGUUGCUGCAGGAAGGAAGCUCAAAGGCGGUUAGAGUGCGCUGGGAAAAGUCUGCUGAAUGCCAUAGAAAAAGUUGGAUUUGAUGAGGUUUCAGGAAAGAAAAGUUCCAGGUAGAGGAGGAGAUGGCAGGUCCAUGUCUUCAUUGGCCGUGACCGUUCGUCAGCGGAGACUCCGCCUUAGCCAGCCCUGGCCGGCCCUCCAUCCUCUUCGGAACAGACUCUUACAUGCACUGAUUUUACUGGGACAGGGUCUUGUCAUGUUGACCAGGCUGGUCUUAAACUCCUGGCCUCAAGAGGUCCUCCUGCCUUGGCUUCCCAAAGCACUGUGAUUCAGGUGUGAGCUGACACACCCAGACCACAACCGUGUUUUGUGUAUCUCACUUUGUGUAGAUAUUGCCACACUAUAGUAAGAGACUGGGUCUGUCAUGAAGCUGUGAUGGGGUGGACACUCCACACCGUCGAGUCUAUGUGACAAGGACUGAAUUGGAAGGGUGCUCAGAUAUCCCCUGGUUGGCAGAGCCCCACCUGUGCAGAUGAGGUCCCCAGGCUUGAUGCCAUCCUGAACAUCGUCACUCAGCCAUGGCGUUAGGGGAGACUGCAGCCUCUGGUUUCCUGUCCAGCCUUUCCCAGCUGCUUCCUCUGCUUGUUUCUAGUGGAGAUAAAGCCAGUGAAAAAUGAGGGCAAAGUUGACAGUCCUGCAGUCACGGCCAUAGCAGAAACAGUGAAUACACGCGUUUGCACAGGCAGAAAGUGGCAAACAGUGUUGGUGAGUGGCUGAAGUCCACAGGAUCACCCAGUCAGCGGCUGCUGAGCGCUUUCUAUGCACCACACACCAGCCACAGCAUGCCCCUACCCUCAAGGGAUGGGGCACAGAUGCAGCUAAUUACACCAGCAAUCAUUGACGGUCCUUAUAAAUGCUCUAAAGGAAGCCAAGGGGGUUAAUGAAGGAGGAGCUGGCUCAAGUCUAGUGCAAAGUGCACCAUCUAAUCACCUGGGGAGCUUCUGACAUCCCAGCUCCUAGUCAUGGAAUCUCUUGGGGUGAGCCCUGGACACCAGUGUUUUUUACUGCUGGUCCCCAGGUGGUUCCAAUGUGAGAACCACGGCUGUGGAGAAGUGUCGCUGUUUAGAACCUUUACCUGUCCAGGGGAAUGGUGUGACUCACUGCAUUUUCUCGUUUGUAAGAUACCAUCAGGUGUAAGACAGAGCCCUGACCUCAUCAUAACUUUUCAGGAAAGAAAGAAUACUCUCCAUGUUGUACGUGAGAUGCAGCCUUCUCCCCACAAACAUUAAAAUAUGAAAAAGCACAUCCAAGAAUCAAGAAAAUACAGUAUUUGAAUAAAGAUGAAUAAUACAUGCUUUUCAAAUGUAGUCUUUGAGGCAGAGUUAAUACUUGAAUAGCAAAUCGAACUUAGGCCUGAAAAGCUGAGCUGAGCCAACCCAGUGGAAUCAAAUGUUCAGGCGGUGGUGGAGGGCAAACGGCGAAGCCACAGAUCGCAGCCUGCAGGCAGCAAGGGCUGCAGUCCCGGCUGCCUGAGUGAGAAUGACUGUGUGCUAUAAUAAUGACAUUGAAUGUUUUCAGAGUACAUACUGUGAGCUAAGCACUUAAGUGCUAUAGAUGUAUGUAUGUAUGUAUUUUACACAUAUAUACUUUAUAUACUGUAUAUAUAAACACACAUGCACAUCCACAGAUAUAUGUAACUUGAUAUGAUUUGGCUGUGUCCCCACCCAAAUCUUGUCUUGAAUUGUAGCUCCCAUGAUUCCCCUGUGUUGUGGGAGGGACCCAGUGGGAGGUAAUUGAAUCAUGGGGGUGGGUCUUUCCCAUGCCAUUCUUGUGACAGCACUGACAAGAUCUGUUUGUUUUAUAAGGAGGAGUUUCCCUACACAAAAUCUCUCUUUUUGCCAGUGCCGUGUAAGAUGUGUCUUUGUUUUCCCCUUGCAUUCCACCAUGAUUGUGAGGCCUCCCCAGGCAUGUGGAGAUGUGUGUUCAUUAAACCUCCUUUUCUUUAUAAAUUACCCAGUCUCAGGUAUGUCUUUACCAGCAUUAUGAAAAUGGACUAAUAAAUAACUCCUUUAAUUUUCUCCCAACCCAAGUAUAAAGGCAUAAACUCAGCUUGAGAGUGAGCAGCUUGCUGAAGAUUUCACAGUAGGCUUUGAAUUUGGCCAUUCUGACUCCACAGCCUGCCCUGCCCUCAAUAAAAAUGCUGAUGAGUAAAAAGGCAGAGCUCAAGUUUUCUCUGUCAGUAUGCACCUCUGUAGUGAGCCGCAGCCCUGGGAAUGUCACACUGACCCAGCACGUAAAAUUCCCAGGGAAACGUCCCCAAGUGAACACGGUGCCAUGCGUGACCCACCCCCGAAGCUCAGCAUGGACGUCGCAUAGACCUCCUUUUACUCCAUUAACCUCCAGUCCACCCCCAGGGGCUGGCCAUGCUGAUAAAGAUUCUGACACCACUUCUUGGAUGACAGGG